Molecule: ribosomal RNA, 439 nt
Filed under: uncultured bacterium
Lineage: Bacteria
Description: bacterial SSU rRNA
Rfam family: Bacterial small subunit ribosomal RNA
Source: RNAcentral
AACGCGAAGAACCUUACCUGGGCUCGAAAUGCAGAGGAAGAUACCAGAAAUGGUCUCGUCCGCAAGGACUUCUGUAUAGGUGCUGCAUGGCUGUCGUCAGCUCGUGCCGUGAGGUGUUUGGUUAAGUCCAGCAACGAGCGCAACCCUUAUCAUUAGUUGCCAACACGUAAGGUGGGGACUCUAAUGAGACCGCCUCGGAUAACGGGGAGGAAGGUGGGGAUGACGUCAAGUCCUCAUGGCCUUUAUGUCCAGGGCUACACACGUGCUACAAUGGCCGGUACAAACCGCUGCAAACCCGCGAGGGGGAGCUAAUCGGAAAAAGCCGGACCUCAGUUCGGAUUGGAGUCUGCAACUCGACUCCAUGAAGCUGGAAUCGCUAGUAAUCGUGGAUCAGCAUGCCACGGUGAAUACGUUCCCGGGCCUUGUACACACCGACAUA